Rosa chinensis is the source of this 718-nucleotide long non-coding RNA. RefSeq lists it as uncharacterized. The record is from RefSeq and is a predicted model, not a curated record. Lineage: Eukaryota; Viridiplantae; Streptophyta; Magnoliopsida; Rosales; Rosaceae. The transcript is spliced from 4 exons.
ACUGAAACUAAGAUAAAAAAAAAUUAUAAAAUAAAAAAAACCACCUGGAACUCACCAGUGGCCGAUCGUCACCAAAGGGCUUACUCGAUCUUCUCCGUUGUCAUGCUAAAACAGCGCCACAACAUCAUGUCAUUUUGGGAGGACGAUGAGGGCAUUUCGGUAAACAAAUUUCAAAAGCAUAAUAAUAAGAACCCUCUGCACCGCCACACCGUCAAGUCCUGAACCAACCUCUCGGUACUUGUUUCUGCAACUGAAUCACAUUUCCAAACAUGGGGAAGGGGACUGGAAGCUUUGGCAAACCCGGCCCUUUGGAGCCACGCUCUCUCCAUGCGGUGCGGCCGUCGGAGCUUUCAUCUUCAGAAGAGUCGUUGCGCCUCUUGUGGCUACCCCGCCAGCCGUAUCAGAAAACAUAACUGGAGCGUGAAGGCGAUUCGCAGAAAGACUACAGGUACUGGUAGAAUGAGGUGCCUUCGUCAGUCAUGUCGCGGUUAGAUUCAAGUUCAACUUCAGAGAAGGUAUUGAGAAGAAAGAAAACGGGCUAUGUAUCAUGAGCAAAUCAUAAGCUUCUCAGCUUUGGCUAAAAACUAGUACUUAGGAGGUCUAGAAUGACAAUGUUUACAUUUUCUAUUCAGUAUUCUGUAUAAUAGUUUGUACCCUAAACCAGAUUACAAGAAAGAUGAAAUCUUGAGUGACAUGAAGUGCAUUUUCUUUCCAUACA